UACGGAGGAUGCAAGCGUUAUCCGGAAUGAUUGGGCGUAAAGCGUCCGCAGGUGGCUGUGUAAGUCUGCUGUUAAAGAGUCAUGCUCAACAUGAUAAGAGCAGUGGAAACUACACAGCUAGAGUGCGUUCGGGGCAGAGGGAAUUCCUGGUGUAGCGGUGAAAUGCGUAGAGAUCAGGAAGAACACCGGUGGCGAAAGCGCUCUGCUAGGCCGCAACUGACACUGAGGGACGAAAGCUAGGGGAGCGAAUGGG
Molecule: ribosomal RNA, 253 nt
Filed under: uncultured bacterium
Lineage: Bacteria
Description: partial 16S ribosomal RNA
Rfam family: Bacterial small subunit ribosomal RNA
Source: RNAcentral